This 333-nucleotide long non-coding RNA is filed under the name Fukomys damarensis (Damara mole-rat). RNAcentral's name for it is "lncRNA (ENSFDAG00000022075.1)". Lineage: Eukaryota; Metazoa; Chordata; Mammalia; Rodentia; Bathyergidae. The record is from RNAcentral.
AUUUUAAAUCAUCCUAUUCAUAUUGUUUUGUUCUUUUCACCACAGGGCUUAUUAUUCACUUCUGCUUUGAAAAGCACAACCUGGGAGGCCAUAAAAAUGAAAAUAAUGUGAUAGCACUUUUCCCUGCUGAUGGUUGGACAUGCUUGCUACUUACAGUUGAAAAGCAUCACCUUCAAGUUCAUCUCAGGAGGCUUCAUGCCAUGAAAGGAAGAUGAGAACCUGAAAACCAGCUGCAGAAGGAGACACGAGCACCACAAAACCUGAAACAUUUAAUUGGUGAGCCACUUUUAGGAGGAGCCUACCCAGUAACCAAGUCAGAUUUUAAAAGAAUUA